This 497-nucleotide ribosomal RNA is filed under the name uncultured bacterium. Its description in RNAcentral is "partial 16S ribosomal RNA". It matches the Rfam family "Bacterial small subunit ribosomal RNA", at positions 28 to 507 of the family's 1533-position model. The record is from RNAcentral.
GAUGAACGCUGGCGGCGUGCCUAAUACAUGCAAGUCGAGCGAACGGACGAGAAGCUUGCUUCUCUGAUGUUAGCGGCGGACGGGUGAGUAACACGUGGAUAACCUACCUAUAAGACUGGGAUAACUUCGGGAAACCGUAGCUAAUACCGGAUAAUAUUUUGAACCGCAUGUUUCAAAAGUGAAAGACGGUCUUGCUGUCACUUAUAGAUGGAUCCGCCUUGCAUUAGCUAGUUGGUAAGGUAACGGCUUACCAAGGCAACGAUGCAUAGCCGACCUGAGAGGGGGAUCGGCCACACUGGAACUGAGAAACGGUCCAGACUCCUACGGGAGGCAGCAGUAGGAAAUCUUCCGCAAUGGGCGAAAGCCUGACGGAGCAACGCCGCGUGAGUGAUGAAGGUCUUCGGAUCGUAAAACUCUGUUAUUAGGGAAGAACAUAUGUGUAAGUAACUGUGCACAUCUUGACGGUACCUAAUCAGAAAGCCACGGCUAACUACGUG